GCAGCACCCGCCUCUGGUGGAAGGGGACUGAACACCACGUGGGCUCUGGAUGGGGGUGCAGCAUGGCGGGGUGCGGCUUGAUGACCGCACCUGCUUCGUGAGUGGCUUCUAGAGCAGGGCAAAGGUUUCUCCAGUUCACAAGCUGCGGGGGGCAAGGGAGCAGAAGGAGCAUCUGGGCUGAGCACUUGGCUUCUAACCACGGCUCUGUCUGCUGGGCUGAUCACAGAGGCGCGCCGUGAGGACCUGCGCCUCCCUGCAAAGACACCGACGGGCAGGCGGGCACCCCGGGUCGGGAGAGGCCGGCGGGGUGGGACAGCAGCACCAGGAAGGGGAGACAAGCACUGGAGCCCGGCAUCCACGCAGCCUGCCCUGAGGCACACCCCGCUGGGGAGAGCCAGGCUUCCGGGAGCCGUGUUGCCCGGUGUCCAGCGCCUGUGCUCCGCACUCACACUGGGAAGGGGUGGCCAUCGCCCGGCUCGCACCUUCCUGCCAUGUCCCUGGGCGGCUGUGGAGCUGGGACGCAUCUCACAAAAGCCGCCUGCCUGGUGGCCGCCCUGUCACCAGCAGAGCUGUCAGGUAUGUCCGUCACGCUGCUUUGUGGCCGCAUCACCCGCACAAUUGGCAAGAUUAGGUGGCCACGGAGGGCGGCAAGUGAGGUGGUAAUUGUGUUCAAGGGAAAAGGGUUGAGAAAGACUUUCUCCCCGUGCCUGUGAAAGGAGUGACAGCUAAUAUUUGAAAGCGG
RNAcentral lists this long non-coding RNA (742 nucleotides) under Chinchilla lanigera (long-tailed chinchilla). RNAcentral describes it as "lncRNA (ENSCLAG00000028687.1)". The record is from RNAcentral. Lineage: Eukaryota; Metazoa; Chordata; Mammalia; Rodentia; Chinchillidae.